AACCCGUAACUAUUAAUACCGCUCUCACCUACGCCUUGCCCGUUGUCCCCUUCAAAACCCUCGCAGAGAAUUUUGACUUCCUGCUUUUUUUCUCAUCAACGAAAUCUGCAUUAACGACGAAAAUCUCGGUGAAGAAAAUACUUAGAUUUUUUAUUUUGUUUUUCUCUGUUAGUCUGUUUUUAGCUUUAAUGGAGGAGAUGGAGGGAGAAAGAGUGCGAGAGAAGGACGUUGACAAUGCAGAAGAGAUCAAGGAUGAAAAUAAUAAUAAUACUAACAAGAUAAUGAAGCUGAAGAAGACGAAGAAGCAGCAGAAGAAGAAGAAUAAGAGAAAAGCAUCGAGUUUGGCGAGAUUUGGAUGCUUGAGAAUGGAAUCUGAUGAGAAUGGUGGUGUCGAUAUGGAAGUCGAGUUUCCGGGAGAGCGUAACCAACCUACUCAUCUUGUUGUACUGGUUAAUGGCAUCAUUGGCAGUGCUCAGAAUUGGAGAUUUACAGCAAAGCAGUUUUUGAAGAAGUAUCCGGAAGAUGUUAUUGCUCAUUGCAGUGAGCGCAAUUCUUCAAUGUCGACAUUUGAUGGUGUCGAUGUAAUGGGCGACAGAUUAGCAGAGGAGGUUAAAUAUGUCAUAAGCCGUCACCCAAGUGUUCAGAAGAUUUCUUUUGUUGGUCAUUCAUUAGGUGGCCUUGUAGCAAGGUACGCCAUUGCACGGCUUUAUGAACAAGAUCUCACUCGAGAAAAUUCUCAAACAAAUGGAGAUUGUGGAACUGAUCAUUUGGGAGAUUCGUGCCCCGAAGGGAAAUUCAAAGGCAAAAUUGCCGGAUUAGAACCCAUGAAUUUCAUAACUUUUGCAAGUCCACACCUUGGUUCUCGGUGGCAUAAACAGGUUCCAUUGUUCCGAGGCUCCCGUGCACUGGAAAAAGUUGCCGCUCGCACAUCAUGGCUUCUUGGUAGAACUGGAAAACAUCUGUUUUUGACUGAUGGAAAGAAUGGAAAACCUCCUCUUCUUCUCCGUAUGGUCAGUGAUUGUGAAGAUCUUAAAUUUAUGUCUGCUCUGCAGUCCUUCAGGCGUCGUGUUCUGUAUGCAAAUGCUAGUUUCGACCAUAUUGUUGGGUGGAGUACUUCUUCCUUACGGCGUCGAAAUGAGCUUCCAAAGAUUAAACAGCUUCCCAGAGGUGACAAAUACCCACACGUCAUAAAUAUGGAGACAGCAAAAACUGCUACUCUUGAUGAAGUCCUUUCUGAGGCCACAAUCAAUGGAGAUGAGAAGAUAAACGUGGAAGAGGAAAUGAUCAAGGGUUUAACAAAACUGAGCUGGGAAAGGGUUGAUGUUUACUUCAAAGGAAGCAGACAAAGAAUUCUCGCACAUAGUACCAUUCAGGUGAAAAACUACUGGGUUAAUUCUGAUGGUGCUGAUGUAGUCCAACACAUGAUUGACAAUUUUCUAUUAUAAGAGAAGGUGGAGUCUUAUAUGUCGUUAUCAAAAGCGUGAAGAGAUUAGUCCCUCUGUAAAGGAAGUCCAGAAGUAAAAUGGCAGCAUCGUUCCAAAGAUUGUAACAGCUUACAGCUUGGCAGCAAGCAACUCCACGUAAGUGGACGUUGGAUUGCAGUUGGUGAUCUAGAUUUAGUAGGAUUUAGAUUAUCUGUGGCGUCUUGUCGGUCCCAGCCCUGCUCUCUCUCUUUCUCUCUGUUCCUUUGUGUUGGCCACUAUGUUGAAGCUGGACUUUGGCCCAUUCUACUGCUGCUGUAAUGCCCGUAAAUAGUAAUGCUGCUGUAACUAUAAUCAAUAAUGGAGAAGGUAUCAGCAUCAGAAUUCAGAAGUAAAAUAAGUAAUGAAAUUUAAAAGCGAUUAGAAAAUUUCUAGUUUCUCGUGCAAUUCCGCAGAAUUUUAGUUUUUUUGGAGUAAUAAUCUUACGGAGUUUGGUCCAUUUUGAAAAUUUACGAAUGAUCAAUAGAUGCUUAAUUGAUGUUCUUUUUAUAUCAUAAACGUGGAUUUCUGAAAAAACCUAUGAUUUCUGGAUACUGAGCUGAAUUUCUUUUCGACAACAUUGAAAUCACUAAAUGUAAAGGGUAAUUUAUAGUAUUAUUAUAUCUUAAAAAUUCGCAGUUAGCAGGAUUGCAGAAUAUAUACAGGGUUCUCUGUUAAGGAUAAGACUCUCAUUCCCAAAAGCGCGUAAGCUUGCAGGUGAAAUGUUUAACUCCCAAACAACCAAGAAAAUUGCUGUUUGUUCCUAUAAAAGAGUAUAUGAUGAAGCAAACGCCAUAGUCUAUUGUCUUACAUACCAUCUCGAAAAUAGUAUCUUCCUUGGGAAAUAGUAAUACAAAUACUAUUCCCAAGUGAUAGUGAAAGGAGGGAUUUGGCGUGUUGGAGUGAAAGUGGUCAAGACUCACGCACGAGUCACCGACUGUGUCCACGAGCCAAAACCCGAAACCGAGCCCCUCCCUCAAAAGGAACGUAAACGUUGGGGGGGGGGGGGGGGGGCAAAUUGAGAGGAGAAAAUGAGGAAGGAAAAGGAAAUCCCAGAGAAACUCGUCCAACCUGUGACAUUACAUAAACCCCUUUUGUAGAAAACUCUCUAUCAUUUGUUAUUUGUGUGAUCUUUUUUGUUACUGCUUUUUGUUUUCAUUCUUAUUCUUUUCCUUUGGCUGGCUGUGCAGCUGUCCACCCUUUUUGCUUUUCUACCUCCUCUCUGCUACCACAGUUGUUUUCAUUUCUAUUUUCCUCUUUUUCUUAUGGUAAAGUGCCUUGGUUUUUUGGUGGCUCAUGAAACGAGGCUGAGGUCCUUCCCUUUUCGGUUGAGGUCCUCCCCAUUUGCUUUUAGCCUCGUUGCAGUGCUCUUUCUGCCUUCCACGUUCGAUCCUUGAUUCAGAUUUUCAGAGAUAUUACAAUGUAAAAAACAGACUCAUCUUUUUUUUGCAUUGUGGAGGUGGCAUUCAAGUAGUGGAAAACUCUCCUUGGUCUACACUACCAACCACAUUUAAUUUCCCUGCUUGGUCCUAUUAAUUUACUUCUCUGAUAUCCCAUCUUGUAUCUCACCUCUUUUUUAAGGUUUUGAACUCCCACCCCUUCUCUCUUUGAGAAAAAUGAGCAUCUCUGCAAAUUGUGUUUGCUGCCACAGAAAUAGACACCUUCUAGUUUCGUUGCUGUUUCUUCUGGUUUCAAGCUUGACUCACGUUAGAUUCAUGGCUGCAGAAGGUAAGUUUCUUUCCUUGUCUAAAUUUCAAAAAGAAUAUCUCCAAAUUGAAAAUUGAAAGCCUAAUCAUUGACUUAAUAUUCACCCUCUUUCGUGUAUUCCAGCAAGGUCCUUUUCCAGGUUACUCGAGGUUGAUCAGGUAUCAGGAUCAUAGUUCCAUUUCAAGUAUAAUCUUGCUUCUUUCUUUACAUCCAAACAGCAGUGACAGAUUUGAAUAAUGUUGUUUGAACAGAAAGGAAUUGAAGAGGAGAAGAAGACAAUGGUGAUGACAAGUCUGAUAGGGUCAAGACCACCAAGGUGCGAGAGAAGGUGCGGUUCCUGCCCACACUGUGAGGCAAUUCAAGUUCCUAUCACAACACAAUCCCAUAACCGCAGAACCCGCCAAUUCUCAGCUGCAAUAUUCACAAUUCCUUACUCUAGAGGUGAUGACAUCUCCAACUACAAGCCCAUUAGCUGGAAGUGCAAGUGUGGAAACCUGAUUUUCAAUCCUUGAUUGAAAGUAAAAAUAAAACAUGUUGUGUGUAAAAACACCCUCCUUUUCAACUGUGGAUAAAAUGACUUCAAUUCUAUACCUUUUGUCGUUUCCACUCUCCUCUCUUGCAAGGUAUAGAUAUGGCUUUGUCCACAAUUUGUUUUCUUGAGUUACACUUAAGCAGCAACAGAUUCUAAGAUACCUUAACUCGAAAUUCUUCAAUUAGUAUUUUGUUUUUAAUAUUUUUUCGGGGGGUGAGGUGAGAUUUGUUAAUUCUGAUGGCAAGUGACGACAUGGGUAGUUUAAAAGAGAUAAAGAUGGGUGCGUAUCAAGUCUGUCAGACAGUUCUGCUUUCGUGUCUUGCAAUAUUUGUGCACUACACUCCAGACUCCAGAGAGAAAGCUAAGACCCUGUUCUGUUGCAUUUUAGACAGCCUGCCUCGAAGGGAUCAAUGCUGUUAGGCACAAAAGCCUCCAACUAAAUAUUCGUAUAGUAAAAUCAAAUAUUUAAUU
Molecule: RNA transcript, 4170 nt
Organism: Durio zibethinus
Lineage: Eukaryota; Viridiplantae; Streptophyta; Magnoliopsida; Malvales; Malvaceae
Gene name: putative lipase ROG1
Source: RefSeq, a predicted model, not a curated record